This is an unclassified non-coding RNA of Mesocricetus auratus (golden hamster), 255 nucleotides long. Its record names the gene 7SK. It matches the Rfam family "7SK RNA". Rfam says of the family: 7SK was discovered as an abundant small nuclear RNA in the mid-70s but a possible function has only recently been suggested. Two independent studies have found that 7SK RNA binds the CDK9/cyclin T complex (known as elongation factor P-TEFb). P-TEFb activates transcription by phosphorylating the C-terminal domain of RNA polymerase II. The record is from Ensembl. Lineage: Eukaryota; Metazoa; Chordata; Mammalia; Rodentia; Cricetidae.
AGACAGCAGGUGAUCGGGCUAUGGCAUCUGCCACUCCACUGACUUCUGGGGUCGAUUCUGAUCAUUUGGCUGAUUAAGCAGUGUCCCCUCCCCUCUCACAGCUCCAUGGGCAUCACUCCCGAAUAGAGGAGGGCCAGGCUUCGGUCAAGGGUAUAAGAACGAUCCCCUGCUAGAAUCUCCAAACAAGCUCUCAAGGUCACUGGUUUUUCUAAGCUGUUUCCCAAUUUCAGAUCCCAGGAUGGUAGCUGGGCAUCU